This 494-nucleotide ribosomal RNA is filed under the name uncultured bacterium. RNAcentral's name for it is "partial 16S ribosomal RNA". It matches the Rfam family "Bacterial small subunit ribosomal RNA", at positions 28 to 507 of the family's 1533-position model. The record is from RNAcentral.
GGCGAACGCUGGCGGCGCGCUUAACACAUGCAAGUCGAACGGAAAGGCCUGCUUUCCCUUGUGGAUUGCGGGUACUCGAGUGGCGAACGGGUGAGUAACACGUGAGUGAUCUGCCCCCAACUUGGGUAUAAGCCUGGGAAACUGGGUCUAAUUCCCGAUAGGACUGCAGGGUGGUGCCUGUGGUGGAAAACGAUUUUCUAGUGGUUGGGGAUGAGCUCGCGGCCUAUCAGCUUGUUGGUGGGGUAAUGGCCUACCAAGGCGGCGACGGGUAGCCGGCCUGAGAGGGUGGACGGCCACAUUGGGACUGGGAUACGGCCCAGACUCCUACGGGAGGCAGCAGUGGGGAAUAUUGCACAAUGGGCGGAAGCCUGAUGCAGCGACGCCGCGUGGGGGAUGACGGCCUUCGGGUUGUAAACUCCUUUCGACCGCGAGGAAGCCACCUGGUUGGAAGGGUGGUGACGGUAGUGGUAGAAGAAGCACCGGCUAACUACGUG